CUACCGCUAUUGGAGUUCGAUUAAGCCAUGCGAGUCGAGAGUCUUAGGGACUCGGCGUACCGCUCAGUAACACGUGGGUAACCUGCCCUAUGCUGGGGAAUAACCUCGGGAAACUGAGAAUAAUGCCCCAUAGUCCACCAUGCCUGGAACGGUUGGUGGAUCAAAGCCCCGGCGGCAUAGGAUGGGCCUGCGGCGUAUCAGGUUGUAGGGGGUGUAACGUACCCUCUAGCCAUCAACGCGUACGGGUGUUGGGAGACAUAGCCCGGAGAUGGAUUCUGAGACACGAAUCCAGACCCUACGGGGUGCAGCAGGCGCGAAAACUUGGCAAUGCGAGAAAUCGUGACCAGGGAACUCCAAGUGGCUGGGGUAAGACCCAGUCUUUUCUUGACUCUUCAAAGGUCUUGGAAUAAGGGGUGGGUAAGGACGGUGCCAGCCGCCGCGGUAAUACCGGCGCCUCAAGUGGUAGUCGAUUUUAUUGGGCCUAAAACGUCCGUCGCCUGUUUGGUACAUUCGUGGGUAAAUCAAUCAGCUCAACUGAUUGAAUUCUGCGAGCACGGCCAGACUUGGGACCGGGAGAGGUGUGGGGUACGUUCAGGGUAAGGGGUUAAAAAUCCUGUCAUCCUAAACGGACCACCUGUUGCGAAGGCUCCACACUAGAACGGAUCCGACGGUCAGGGACGAAGCCUAAGGGCACGAACCGGAUUGGGAUACCCGGGGUAGUCCUAGGUGUAAACGCUGUGGACUUGGUGUUGGGGACUCUCC
This 762-nucleotide ribosomal RNA is filed under the name uncultured marine archaeon. RNAcentral describes it as "bacterial SSU rRNA". It matches the Rfam family "Archaeal small subunit ribosomal RNA", at positions 24 to 786 of the family's 1478-position model. The record is from RNAcentral.